UCAAAUUAGAACUUGGAUAGAUAAGUAUUUCAUUUACAUUGAAGAAGAAUUGUGCAAAUCAAUAUAAUUUGA
Molecule: transfer RNA, 72 nt
Filed under: Archichauliodes diversus
Lineage: Eukaryota; Metazoa; Arthropoda; Insecta; Megaloptera; Corydalidae
Description: tRNA-Val
Source: RNAcentral